RNAcentral lists this ribosomal RNA (718 nucleotides) under uncultured bacterium. RNAcentral's name for it is "bacterial SSU rRNA". It matches the Rfam family "Bacterial small subunit ribosomal RNA", at positions 46 to 759 of the family's 1533-position model. The record is from RNAcentral.
GCCUAACACAUGCAAGUCGAGCGGUAGAGAGAAGCUUGCUUCUCUUGAGAGCGGCGGACGGGUGAGUAAUACCUAGGAAUCUGCCUGAUAGUGGGGGAUAACGUUCGGAAACGGACGCUAAUACCGCAUACGUCCUACGGGAGAAAGCAGGGGACCUUCGGGCCUUGCGCUAUCAGAUGAGCCUAGGUCGGAUUAGCUAGUUGGUGAGGUAAUGGCUCACCAAGGCUACGAUCCGUAACUGGUCUGAGAGGAUGAUCAGUCACACUGGAACUGAGACACGGUCCAGACUCCUACGGGAGGCAGCAGUGGGGAAUAUUGGACAAUGGGCGAAAGCCUGAUCCAGCCAUGCCGCGUGUGUGAAGAAGGUCUUCGGAUUGUAAAGCACUUUAAGUUGGGAGGAAGGGCAGUUACCUAAUACGUGAUUGUCUUGACGUUACCGACAGAAUAAGCACCGGCUAACUCUGUGCCAGCAGCCGCGGUAAUACAGAGGGUGCAAGCGUUAAUCGGAAUUACUGGGCGUAAAGCGCGCGUAGGUGGUUUGUUAAGUUGAAUGUGAAAUCCCCGGGCUCAACCUGGGAACUGCAUCCAAAACUGGCAAGCUAGAGUAUGGUAGAGGGUAGUGGAAUUUCCUGUGUAGCGGUGAAAUGCGUAGAUAUAGGAAGGAACACCAGUGGCGAAGGCGACUACUUGGACUGAUACUGACACUGAGGUGCGAAAG